AGGAAGGUGGGGAUGACGUCAAAUCAUCGUGCCCCUUAUGACCUGGGCUACACACGUGCUACAAUGGGCGGUACAAAGGGUCGCGAACCCGCGAGGGGGAGCCAAUCCCAAAAAGCUGACUCUACAGUUCCGGAUUGCAGGCUGCAACUCGCCUGCAUGAAGCCGGAAUCGCUAGUAAUCGCGGAUCAGCAUGCCGCGGUGAAUACGUUCCCGGGCCUU
RNAcentral lists this ribosomal RNA (219 nucleotides) under uncultured Anoxybacillus sp. Its description in RNAcentral is "partial 16S ribosomal RNA". It matches the Rfam family "Bacterial small subunit ribosomal RNA", at positions 1167 to 1382 of the family's 1533-position model. The record is from RNAcentral. Lineage: Bacteria; Bacillati; Bacillota; Bacilli; Caryophanales; Anoxybacillaceae.